ACCAGACUCCUACGGGAGGCAGCAGUGGGGGAUAUUGCACAAUGGGGGAAACCCUGAUGCAGCAACGCCGCGUGAGUGAAGAAGGUCUUCGGAUUGUAAAGCUCUGUUCUUGGUGAAGAUAAUGACGGUAGCCAAGGAGAAAGCUCCGGCUAACUCCGUGCCAGCAGCCGCGGUAAUACGGAGGGUGCAAGCGUUACUCGGAAUCACUGGGCGUAAAGAGCGCGUAGGCGGGAUAGCAAGUCAGAUGUGAAAUCCUAUGGCUUAACCAUAGAACUGCAUUUGAAACUGUUAUUCUAGAGUAUGGGAGAGGUAGGUGGAAUUCUUGGUGUAGGGGUAAAAUCCGUAGAGAUCAAGAGGAAUACUCAUUGCGAAGGCGACCUGCUAGAACAUAACUGACGCUGAUGCGCGAAAGCGUGGGGAGCAAACAGGAUUAGAUACCCUCGUAC
Molecule: ribosomal RNA, 446 nt
Filed under: uncultured bacterium
Lineage: Bacteria
Description: bacterial SSU rRNA
Rfam family: Bacterial small subunit ribosomal RNA
Source: RNAcentral